Molecule: ribosomal RNA, 605 nt
Filed under: Celeribacter sp.
Lineage: Bacteria; Pseudomonadati; Pseudomonadota; Alphaproteobacteria; Rhodobacterales; Roseobacteraceae
Description: bacterial SSU rRNA
Rfam family: Bacterial small subunit ribosomal RNA
Source: RNAcentral
UUCGGGGGAAAGAAUUUCGGUGAGGGAUCGGCCCGCGUUAGAUUAGUUAGUUGGUGGGGUAAUGGCCUACCAAGACUACGAUCUAUAGCUGGUUUGAGAGGAUGAUCAGCAACACUGGGACUGAGACACGGCCCAGACUCCUACGGGAGGCAGCAGUGGGGAAUCUUAGACAAUGGGGGCAACCCUGAUCUAGCGAUGCCGCGUGAGUGAUGAAGGCCUUAGGGUCGUAAAGCUCUUUCGCCUGUGAUGAUAAUGACAGUAGCAGGUAAAGAAACCCCGGCUAACUCCGUGCCAGCAGCCGCGGUAAUACGGAGGGGGUUAGCGUUGUUCGGAAUUACUGGGCGUAAAGCGCACGUAGGCGGAUUAGUCAGUCAGAGGUGAAAUCCCAGGGCUCAACCCUGGAACUGCCUUUGAUACUGCUAGUCUUGAGUUCGAGAGAGGUAAGUGGAAUUCCGAGUGUAGAGGUGAAAUUCGUAGAUAUUCGGAGGAACACCAGUGGCGAAGGCGGCUUACUGGCUCGAUACUGACGCUGAGGUGCGAAAGUGUGGGGGAGCAAACAGGAUUAAGAUACCCUGGGUAGUCCACACCCGUAAAACGAUGAAAUG